AUGGCUGGAGUGGUGCGCCUAUGGAACGAUUGGGAGGUCCAAAUCCUAGUGCUUGUUAGCUUCAUGCUGCAAGUGUUCCUGCUCAUGUUCGCCAGGAUGCGGCGGCGGAACAUCUCCAUCGUCCCAAGGACCCUCCUCUGGCUAGCAUACCUACUGGCUGACUCCAUAGCGAUAUACAUCCUCGGCCACAUGUCUUUCUAUGGCAAGUCUCACGGGCACCAACAGCUCAUGGCUUUCUGGGCGCCAUUCUUGCUAGUGCAUCUCGGUGGCCAGGACAACAUCACCGCCUACUCCAUGGAAGACAGCAAGCUCUGGCCGCGCCACCUGCUCUCUUUUGUCGUGCAGACAGUGGGAGUGGCUUAUGUCCUCUACAAGUAUGUUGCUGGCAGCUGGACCUUGGUCACAGCCUCAGCAUUGAUAUUUGUCAGCGGUAUUCUCAAGUAUGGGGAGAGAGUAUGGGCGCUCAAGUUGUCCAGCCUGGAGAACAUGAGUAAGUUCCUUGACGGCGAGAAGUUGAGUGAGGCUAAAAGAGAUCGGCAUGCACUGGUUGGCGAAUGGAACAUAUCUGUGCAGUGGGGCCGGGGGGAGAACUUGGAGCCUGAAGAGGUUCUGCAGGGAGCUCAUGACCUGCUUCCCAUUUGCAUGGCUCAGUUUGUGGACUAUAAGUUCUGGCCAUCUGCAUCCCAGAGUAAAGCCAUAAAGCUAUUCGAUAACAAGGGCCAAAUGUUUGAGUUGGUUGAGAUGCAGCUCUCCUUGAUGUAUGAUUUCCUAUAUACCAAGGCAGCGGUGGUCUUCACAUGGUAUGGAUGCCUCAUCCGUGCCAUUUCAGCAGUUGCCAGCAUCACCACUUUCUUCUUAUUUCAAGCAAGCGUUCGCAAAAAUGACUUCAACAGAGUUGAUGCCAUUGUCACAUACAUCUUGAUAGCUGGGGCUGUCCUCCUAGAGAUGGCAACAUUGUUGAAGGCAAUGGGAUCAACAUGGACAUGUGCAUUGUUGCAUGCUAGAAGAUGGCAUCGGCUUCACAGCAUAGUCAUAGCUGUUCGGCGGCAUGUCAGGGCUGCGGAAAGAAAUAGAAGAUGGUCAGGUUCCAUUGGACACCCCAUGUUGCUGAACUCGUCCCAUCGCAGUGGAGGCUGGGUGCAGAGCUUGGGAUGCAAAGAUUUGUGGAAGAAGCUGCACCACUCCCUACCUAUCAUUUCAGAUGGUACUAAGAAGUUGGUGUUGCAGGAGGUACGAAGAAUGGUGGGGAAAUGUGAAGGCAGAGAGGAUAUCAUGAGGAGUUAUAGUGGUCAGUGCGCACUGAAUACAUGGAGCGGAUUCUUCAAGGAUCCCACCUCACACGCGGGCAUCGAUUUUGAUGAUAAAAUCCUUUCCUGGUACUUUGCGACCAAAAUAUUCUUCGGAUGGUCUUCUUGUGUGGAAGAGCAGGGUUAUGUUGAGGCAAUCACAGCAGUGUCAAAUUACAUGAUAUUUCUCCUUGUUGAACAUCCUUACAUGCUGCCUAGCCCUGUUUGCCCCGGAUUGUAUGCCAGUACUGAAGUAGCAUAUGUGGGGCUUGAUUUUUCUGAUAGGGAACGCAUCUGCAAAAAGUUGGGGCUGGGCAAAAGAAAAAUAAUGUGGAAUCUGGACACAAGAACGGACGGGGAAAAGCUGCAUAGAGUAAGGAGGAGGCUGGACAUAAUAAUGGAGGAUCUGAUCGUAAUAAGGAAGGGUCUGGACAGGGAGGAGGAUGAUCUGGGCAGAAGGUGGGAUUUGGACAAGAGUCUGGAGCUGAAGAUAAUGAGGAAGGAGUUGGACAAAAGAGGGCAGGAGCUUGACGAUUUAAUGUUACAGGUGGGUGGUAGAAGGGAGAAGCUAGAGGAGCCGGACAGAAGGUCUGAAGUUGAUGGAAGAAGGGAGGAGAAUCUGGACCUGGACCCAGAGGAGUGGAACAAAAUAAUGGAAAAACUGGAGGAGCUAGAGACAAGAAACAAGGAGCUGCAUUUCGGACCUUCACCUCCACCACCUUCCUUAGUCCGUGGAACUAAACUUGCUGUUUGGCUGCUAGAGGCGGAGGUGCGGGGCGAGGCAGAGGUGCGGCAGGUGCUACUUGGGGUGUGGGUGGAGAUGCUGUGCUAUGCGGCCCACCACUGCAAUAGGGAUUCCCAUGCCAGGCAGCUCAACAGCGGCGGGGAAUUCAUUACCAUCGUCUGGCUUCUGUCCACUGCCAUGUUCAACCGCCGCUACUGUGACGAAGAUUGGUUUAAGACAGGCGUGCGGAGGUUCUUCUGGCGACCAUUCCAUCUCGAGGAGGAUGACAUCGCCAGUUGGUUCCGGAGGAGGAGGAGGAGGAGGACAUGGACAGAAUGGUUGCACUUGAGGAGGACAUGA
Molecule: ribosomal RNA, 2370 nt
Filed under: Triticum aestivum (bread wheat)
Lineage: Eukaryota; Viridiplantae; Streptophyta; Magnoliopsida; Poales; Poaceae
Description: partial small subunit ribosomal RNA
Source: RNAcentral